This 496-nucleotide ribosomal RNA is filed under the name uncultured bacterium. RNAcentral's name for it is "partial 16S ribosomal RNA". It matches the Rfam family "Bacterial small subunit ribosomal RNA", at positions 29 to 507 of the family's 1533-position model. The record is from RNAcentral.
AUGAACGCUGGCGGCGUGCCUAAUACAUGCAAGUCGAGCGAACAGACGAGGAGCUUGCUCCUCUGACGUUAGCGGCGGACGGGUGAGUAACACGUGGAUAACCUACCUAUAAGACUGGGAUAACUUCGGGAAAUCGGAGCUAAUACCGGAUAAUAUAUUGAACCGCAUGGUUCAAUAGUGAAAGACGGUUUUGCUGUCACUUAUAGAUGGAUCCGCGCCGCAUUAGCUAGUUGGUAAGGUAACGGCUUACCAAGGCAACGAUGCGUAGCCGACCUGAGAGGGUGAUCGGCCACACUGGAACUGAGACACGGUCCAGACUCCUACGGGAGGCAGCAGUAGGGAAUCUUCCGCAAAGGGCGAAAGCCUGACGGAGCAACGCCGCGUGAGUGAUGAAGGUCUUCGGAUCGUAAAACUCUGUUAUUAGGGAAGAACAAAUGUGUAAGUAACUAUGCACGUCUUGACGGUACCUAAUCAGAAAGCCACGGCUAACUACGUG